GACGAACGCUGGCGGCGUGCUUAACACAUGCAAGUCGAGCGGUAAGGCCCUUUCGGGGGUACACGAGCGGCGAACGGGUGAGUAACACGUGGGUGACCUGCCCUUAGCUCUGGGAUAAGCCUGGGAAACUGGGUCUAAUACCGGAUAUGACUCCAUGACGCAUGUUGUGGGGUGGGAAAGCCUUGUGCGGCUAGGGAUGGGCCCGCGGCCUAUCAGCUUGUUGGUGGGGUGAUGGCCUACCAAGGCGACGACGGGUAGCCGGCCUGAGAGGGCGACCGGCCACACUGGGACUGAGACACGGCCCAGACUCCUACGGGAGGCAGCAGUGGGGAAUCUUGCGCAAUGGGCGAAGCCUGACGCAGCGACGCCGCGUGAGGGAUGACGGCCU
This 388-nucleotide ribosomal RNA is filed under the name uncultured bacterium. RNAcentral's name for it is "bacterial SSU rRNA". It matches the Rfam family "Bacterial small subunit ribosomal RNA", at positions 28 to 417 of the family's 1533-position model. The record is from RNAcentral.